GAUUGAACGCUGGCGGUAUGCUUAACACAUGCAAGUCGAACGGAAACGAUACUAGCUUGCUAGUAGGCGUCGAGUGGCGGACGGGUGAGUAACGCGUAGGAAUCUGCCUGAUAGUGGGGGAUAGCCCGAAGAAAUUCGGAUUAAUACCGCAUAAUCUAUUCGUAGUAAAGUGGGGGACUUUCGAGCCUCACGCUAUCAGAUGAGCCUGCGUAAGAUUAGCUUGUUGGUAGGGUAAAAGCCUACCAAGGCGACGAUCUUUAGCUGGUCUGAGAGGAUGAUCAGCCACAUCGGGACUGAGACACGGCCCGAACUCCUACGGGAGGCAGCAGUGGGGAAUAUUGGACAAUGGGGGCAACCCUGAUCCAGCAAUACCGCGUGUGUGAAGAAGGCCUGAGGGUUGUAAAGCACUUUCAAUUGUGAAGAAAAGUUAGCGGUUAAUAACCGUUAGCCUUGACGUUAACUUUAGAAGAAGCACCGGCUAACUCCGUGCCAGCAGCCGCGGUAAUACGGAGGGUGCAAGCGUUAAUCGGAAUUACUGGGCGUAAAGCGUGCGUAGGUGGUUUAUUAAGUCAGAUGUGAAAGCCCCGGGCUUAACCUGGGAACUGCAUUUGAAACUGGUCAACUAGAGUAUGGUAGAGGAAAGUGGAAUUUCUGGUGUAGCGGUGAAAUGCGUAGAUAUCAGAAGGAACAUCAAUGGCGAAGGCAGCUUUCUGGACCAAUACUGACACUGAGGUACGAAAGCGUGGGUAGCAAACAGGAUUAGAUACCCUGGUAGUCCACGCCGUAAACGAUGAUAACUAGCCGUUGGGGGGAUUUACCCUUUAGUGGCGAAGCUAACGCGUUAAGUUAUCCGCCUGGGGAGUACGGCCGCAAGGUUAAAACUCAAAGGAAUUGACGGGGACCCGCACAAGCGGUGGAGCAUGUGGUUUAAUUCGAUGCAACGCGAAGAACCUUACCUGGUCUUGACAUCCUGCGAACUUUCUAGAAAUAGAUUGGUGCCUUCGGGAACGCAGUGACAGGUGCUGCAUGGCUGUCGUCAGCUCGUGUCGUGAGAUGUUGGGUUAAGUCCCGUAACGAGCGCAACCCCUAUCCUUAUUUGCCAGCACAUCAUGGUGGGAACUAUAAGGAGACUGCCGGUGAUAAACCGGAGGAAGGCGGGGACGACGUCAAGUCAUCAUGGCCCUUACGACCAGGGCUACACACGUGCUACAAUGGGAAGGACAAAGAGCCGCGAAGCCGCGAGGUGUAGCUAAUCUCAUAAACCUUUUCGUAGUCCGGAUUGGAGUCUGCAACUCGACUCCAUGAAGUCGGAAUCGCUAGUAAUCGUAGAUCAGAAUGCUACGGUGAAUACGUUCCCGGGUCUUGUACACACCGCCC
Molecule: ribosomal RNA, 1377 nt
Filed under: uncultured bacterium
Lineage: Bacteria
Description: bacterial SSU rRNA
Rfam family: Bacterial small subunit ribosomal RNA
Source: RNAcentral